This is a non-coding RNA of Brachypodium distachyon (stiff brome), 135 nucleotides long. NCBI's taxonomy places the organism in Eukaryota, Viridiplantae, Streptophyta, Magnoliopsida, Poales, Poaceae. The record is from Rfam.
CAAAUACUCCAUCUGUCCAACAAAAGAUGUCUCAAUUUUGACUAAAUUUGAAUGCAUCUAUACAUUAAGUCAUGUUUAAAUGCAUCCAAAUUUUGAUAAAGUUGAACAUCUUUUGUUGUACGGAGGGAGUAUUGU